AGGACUGACUGUUAUUGUUGGUGAUACUCAAGUAUCCAUAUUGACACAAGUAUAAAAAAUUAUAAUUAAUUUCAGGCCCAUGUACUGUCUGCACACACUCAGGAACCCAGAAACACACAAACCUGCCAAAUGCAAUUAAUUAUGUGACAUUCCAGACCAGGAGAAGGACUUGGGGGAGAGUUUACAUAUUAUUUGGGUUGCAAACUGCCCAUUUUCCAUUAAAACACUCACAAUAUUUCAGGAUGAGGGUUUGUCAUAAAUCUUAGUGCUACAGUAGGAAGCUUUAGAAGAUGGCAUAAAUCAUCACUGCUGAAGUUCCCAGUUAAACUGUAACUUAUUGUUGUUCCACUGUUGCUUUUGCCUUUUCACAGCCAUCCUGUACACUUCUUGCAUCCUAGUGGGCAUUUUUAUCAACAGCAGUGUGCCAAUUUUCUUUGAGCUUUUUAUCGAGACAGUUUAUCCAGUCCCUGAAGGCAUCACCUGUGGAGUGGUCACUUUCUUGGGGAACCUGGUCACUGGCCUGCUCCUCUUCUUCCUCACCUUUUACUGUACAGAACUGUCAUGGCUAAACUGGUGUCUAACAGGCUCCUGUCUCUUCAGUCUUGUCCUCAUCCUCUUCUUCAGGGAGUCAUACGACCGCCUCUACCUGGAUGUCUUUGUCUCCGUGUGACACUGCAGAGGACAAAAACAAGACAACUUAAUAACCAAGGGACUAAAUAAAUUAUUCUUGCACAAAGGAGAGGAGAAAAGGGAGAUGAGGGGAAAGUGGAAACCCCACACUCUUUUAAGAAAUAAGAUUUUAGUUUGUAAAUGUAUAUGUGUAUUGUAUGGCUGCUGAGAAGAACCACAAAGCGAUUCUACAUCAGUGUUUACUCUUUAUACAUAUUCGACUCAAUGCCAUAUGACUGUCUAACACAUCAUUACCUGUUUUUAUGUUUGUGUUUGUAUGUAAUUUUUUUAAAACCAGGCACAACAUGAUGGACUGUUAGUUGUUGUUGCUAACAGAUGAUGUAAUAUUUUAAGUUAUUCUCAGUGUGGCUUCUCCAUUCACCUUCACAGUGUGGCUUCUCCAUUUUAUCAUCUCUAAAAUAAGCUGGACACUGUCAAAGCUCACAAGUUGGAUGUCAAGUGUUGUCCUCUAAUGAGGAAAUGAGGGAUGAGACGGCUUCAUCAGCCAAUCACAGCCUGGCUGUGCUGGCGUAACACUCUUAAGUGACCUGUGAAACUGCCUGUCAUUGAGAGGCAGAUACUUAUGUUUUAUCACCUUCUCAAGACAAAUAUGCAAAACCUAUCUAGAUUGAUGAUUUGAUGCUGGCUAGAGAUGUGCACUGGGAUUGGAUAAGCCUGCGUUUUUUUUCCCACCAAUGAACUGUCCAUGUGGAGCUGUUACACCCUCACACUACAGAUGUUAUUCAGCCAACUUAAUUGUGUCAAUUUCUGGAAGAUUUACUUUUUAAUCUAAGUGAAUAAUGUUAAUUACUUUUAUUUUUUUCAACAAUUUUUAAUCAUCAGUUUUCCUCAGCAACCUGCCAGUAUUUAUUGGAAAUGUCAUCCUGGUCCAAACAUCCUAUGUCACAGAAACAUAUGAGGAUUACAUUGCAUUGUAAUUGCCAAGCUGCCCCUCCUCCAAAAGCACCAGCAGGUGUCACCAGCUCCAAGUCUAGAUAGACAUAUUAAUAAAGAAACACAUAAGGGCAAACGAAAAAACAUCUGUCACUUAUAGACAAACAUUUCUCUAACUUGUCCAUGACAUUUUUGUGUCUGUCUUUUGCAUAGUAGCUACAAGUGUUUCAUUUCCUGUGGGUUUUGAGAAGGCUCUGUAAUGUGUUUCCUGGUGCUUGUUUUUUUUUUUUUUUUUUUUACUCUCCCUGUACAGAAAAGGUUGUCUUUUACCUUUUGACGUGUUGCCUUAAUUGCCCAGUGCAGUGCGUUCAGUCUCCCUCUCUUCCACACUGUGACUAUUUUGUCUGUAUAUAUUGUUAAAGAUUAUGUUCUUCUGUUCAGCAUGUCACACUCCUGGGCUUUGGGUUCUAAAUGUCCUUGUUCUGUGGAAAGGAGAAAGAACUAAUGUGACUCAAUCAAUAUUUCCAGCACCUUAUUAAAAAGAACAUUUUAAAAAUAA
Lates calcarifer (barramundi perch) is the source of this 2122-nucleotide long non-coding RNA. RefSeq lists it as uncharacterized. Lineage: Eukaryota; Metazoa; Chordata; Actinopteri; Centropomidae. The record is from RefSeq and is a predicted model, not a curated record. The transcript is spliced from 2 exons.